GCCGGGCGCGGUGGCGGGCGCCUGUAGUCCCAGCUACUCGGGAGGCUGAGGCAGGAGAAUGGCGUGAACCCGGGAGGCGGAGCUUGCAGUGAGCUGAGAUCCGGCCACUGCACUCCAGCCUGGGCGGCAGAGCGAGACUCCGUCUCAAAAAAAAAAAAAAAAAAAAAAAAAAAAAGAUGGAGUCUCACUGUAUUGUGGAGGCUGUAGUGCAGUGGUGCGAUCUCGGCUCACUGCAACCUCCGCCUCCCGUGUUCAAGCGAUUCUCCUGCCUCAG
Molecule: signal recognition particle RNA, 274 nt
Filed under: Macaca mulatta (Rhesus monkey)
Lineage: Eukaryota; Metazoa; Chordata; Mammalia; Primates; Cercopithecidae
Description: Metazoan signal recognition particle RNA (ENSMMUG00000059158.1)
Rfam family: Metazoan signal recognition particle RNA
About the family: The signal recognition particle (SRP) is a universally conserved ribonucleoprotein. It is involved in the co-translational targeting of proteins to membranes. The eukaryotic SRP consists of a 300-nucleotide 7S RNA and six proteins: SRPs 72, 68, 54, 19, 14, and 9.
Source: Rfam by way of RNAcentral